Molecule: ribosomal RNA, 253 nt
Filed under: uncultured bacterium
Lineage: Bacteria
Description: partial 16S ribosomal RNA
Rfam family: Bacterial small subunit ribosomal RNA
Source: RNAcentral
UACGGGGGGGGCAAGCGUUGUUCGGAAUUACUGGGCGUAAAGGGCGCGUAGGCGGUUUGCUAAGUUGAAUGUGAAAACUCUGGGCUUAACCCAGAGCCUGCAUUCAAUACUGGCAGGCUAGAGUUCUGGAGGGGAUAGCGGAAUUCCUGGUGUAGCGGUGAAAUGCGUAGAUAUCAGGAGGAACACCGGUGGCGAAGGCGGCCAACUGGUCCGGAUCUGACGCUGAGGCGCGAAAGCGUGGGGAGCAAACAGG